GGUUCGAUUCUGGCUCCAGAUUGAACGCUGGCGGGAUGCUUCUGCAUGCAAGUCGAACGGCAGCACGGACUUCGGUCUGGUGGCGAGUGGCGAACGGGUGAGUAAUGUAUCGGAACGUGCCUAGUAGCGGGGAUAACUACGCGAAAGCGUAGCUAAUACCGCAUACGCCCUUCGGGGAAAAGCGGGGGACCUUCGGGCCUCUCGCACUAUUAGAGCGGCCGAUAUCGGAUUAGCUAGUUGGUGGGGUAACGGCUCACCAAGGCGACGAUCCGUAGCUGGUUUGAAGGACGACCAGCCACACUGGGACUGAGACACGGCCAGACUCCUACAGGAGGCAGCAGUGGGGAAUUUUGGACAAUGGGGGAAACCCUGAUCAGCCAUCCCGCGUGUGCGAUGAAGGCCUUCGGGUUGUAAAGCACUUUUUUUGGCAGGAAAGAAACGGCACGGGAUAAUACCCGUGCAACUGGUACCUGCAGAAUAAGCACCGGCUAACUACGUGCCAGCAGCCGCGGUAAUACGUAGGGUGCAAGCGUUAAUCGGAAUUACUGGGCGUAAAGCGUGCGCAGGCAGUUCGGAAGAAGAUGUGAAAUCCCAGAGCUUAACUUUGGAACUGCAUUUUUAACUACCGAGCUAGAAGAUGUGUCAGAGGAGGUGGAAUUCCGCGUGUAGCAGUGAAAUGCGUAGAUAUGCGGAGAACACCGAUGGCGAAGGCAGCCUCCUGGGAUAACACUGACGCUCAUGCGAAAGCGUGGGGAACAAACAGGAUUAGAUACCCUGGUAGUCCACGCCCUAAACGAUAUCAACCAGCUGUUGGGGCCUUCGGGCCUUGGUAGCGCAGCUAACGCGUGAAGUUGACCACCUGGGAAGUACAGUCGCAAGAUUAAAACUCAAAGGAAUUGACGGGGACCCGCACAAGCGGUGGAUGAUGUGGAUUAAUUCGAUGCAACGCGAAAAACCUUACCUACCCUUGACAUGUCUGGAAUCCCGAAGAGAUUUGGGAGUGCUCGCAAGAGAACCGGAACACAGGUGCUGCAUGGCUGUCGUCAGCUCGUGUCGUGAGAUGUUGGGUUAAGUCCCGCAACGAGCGCAACCCUUGUCAUUAGUUGCUACGAAAGGGCACUCUAAUGAGACUGCCGGUGACAAACCGGAGGAAGGUGGGGAUGACGUCAAGUCCUCAUGGCCCUUAUGGGUAGGGCUUCACACGUCAUACAAUGGUCGGAACAGAGGGUCGCCAACCCGCGAGAGAGGCCAAUCCCGAAACCCGAUCGUAGUCCGGAUCGCAGUCUGCAACUCGACUGCGUGAAGUCGGAAUCGCUAGUAAUCGCGGAUCAGCAUGUCGCGGUGAAUACGUUCCCGGGUCUUGUACACACCGCCCGUCACACCAUGGGAGUGGGUUUUACCAGAAGUAGUUAGCCUAACCGUAAGGAGGGCGAUUACCACGUGGGUUCAUGACUGGGGUGAAGUCGUAACAAGGUAG
RNAcentral lists this ribosomal RNA (1477 nucleotides) under uncultured Bordetella sp. Its description in RNAcentral is "partial 16S-23S ribosomal RNA intergenic spacer". It matches the Rfam family "Bacterial small subunit ribosomal RNA". The record is from RNAcentral. Lineage: Bacteria; Pseudomonadati; Pseudomonadota; Betaproteobacteria; Burkholderiales; Alcaligenaceae.